RNAcentral lists this ribosomal RNA (253 nucleotides) under uncultured bacterium. Its description in RNAcentral is "partial 16S ribosomal RNA". It matches the Rfam family "Bacterial small subunit ribosomal RNA", at positions 524 to 776 of the family's 1533-position model. The record is from RNAcentral.
UACGGAGGAGGCAAGCGUUAUCCGGAAUUAUUGGGCGUAAAGCGUCUGUAGGUGGUUUAAAAAGUCUACUGUUAAAGCUUGAAGCUUAACUUCAAAAAUGCCGUAGAAACUUUUAAACUUGAGUAUGGUAGGGGUAGAGGGAAUUUCCAGUGGAGCGGUGAAAUGCGUAGAUCUUGGAAAGACCACCAAUGGCGAAGGCGCUCUACUGGGCCAUAACUGACACUAAGAGACGAAAGCUAGGGGAGCAAAUGGG